This 477-nucleotide ribosomal RNA is filed under the name Neoprotoparmelia corallifera. RNAcentral's name for it is "eukaryotic LSU rRNA". It matches the Rfam family "Eukaryotic large subunit ribosomal RNA", at positions 347 to 843 of the family's 3401-position model. Lineage: Eukaryota; Fungi; Ascomycota; Lecanoromycetes; Lecanorales; Parmeliaceae. The record is from RNAcentral.
AGUAGAGUGAUCGAAAGAUGAAAAGCACUUUGGAAAGAGAGUUAAAAAGCACGUGAAAUUGUUGAAAGGGAAGCGCUUGCGACCAGACCUGCCCGUUGGCGAUCAACCGCCGUUUUCGGUGGUGCACUCGUCAGCGCGCAGGCCAGCAUCGGUUUGGGCGGUCGGACAAAGGCCUUGGGAAUGUAGCUCCCCUCGGGGAGUCUUUAUAGCCCUCGGUGCAAUGCGGCCAGCCCGGAUCGAGGACCGCGCUUCGGCUAGGAUGCUGGCGUAAUAGUUGCAAGCGACCCGUCUUGAAACACGGACCAAGGAGUCUAACAUCUAUGCGAGUGUUUGGGUGUCAAACCCAUGCGCGCAAUGAAAGUGAACGGAGGUGAGAACCCGUUAGGGUGCAUCAUCGACCGAUCCUGAUGUCUUCGGAUGGAUUUGAGUACGAGCAUAGCUGUUGGGACCCGAAAGAUGGUGAACUAUGCCUGAAUA